GACGAACGCUGGCGGCGUGCUUAACACAUGCAAGUCGAACGGUAAGGCCCUUCGGGGUACACGAGUGGCGAACGGGUGAGUAACACGUGGGUGAUCUGCCCUGCACUUCGGGAUAAGCCUGGGAAACUGGGUCUAAUACCGGAUAGGACCACUGCCUGCAUGGGUGGUGGUGGAAAGCUUUUGCGGUGUGGGAUGGGCCCGCGGCCUAUCAGCUUGUUGGUGGGGUGAUGGCCUACCAAGGCGACGACGGGUAGCCGGCCUGAGAGGGUGACCGGCCACAGUGGGACUGAGAUACGGCCCAGACUCCUACGGGAGGCAGUAGUGGGGAAUAUUGCACAAUGGGCGCAAGCCUGAUGCAGCGACGCCGCGGGAGGGAUGACGGCCUUCGGGUUGUAAACCUCUUUCAGCACCGACGAAGCGCAAGUGACGGUAGGUGCAGAAGAAGGACCGGCCAACUACGUGCCAGCCGCCGCGGUAA
Molecule: ribosomal RNA, 478 nt
Filed under: uncultured bacterium
Lineage: Bacteria
Description: partial 16S ribosomal RNA
Rfam family: Bacterial small subunit ribosomal RNA
Source: RNAcentral